GGUGUAACUCUGCCUGUGUUUGCAUGCCACCUCCAGAACGACUAAAAUGUUAUUUCUCAGUGGGUGAUUAAGACUGGCAGCAAUUGCAAAAACAGAUUCAUGCCAUGUGUCACUCUUCACAGUCAGGAACUUAUUUACCUCUUGGAACUUUCCAAAGGAACGAUGAUGGUGGUGGGCCAUGCUGGAUAAGGAACUGGCUGCCUCUGUGAACAUCCUACUCAAGGCAUCUUCACUGCUGUACAUCCUUUUGAAAUCCCAGAGGUCUUCAGUCUCCCUGUGGAUUAAGGAGAUGUGCAGUAUUUAAAGUAGCUUCAGGAAGGCAUGGAAGAGGACUGAGUGCGGAAAGCUUUUUGUGCAUGCUGCUGGCCACCUCCAGCGGCUGCCUCCAGCCUCCAUCAGCUGCACUCUGGGGAAGAGGAGGCUGCCUUCUACCUCUCAGCAUCUCUGGAUUUCAUGUUCCUGUCAGCACAGAGGAGCUAAAUGGCCUUUAGAGGCUGAAGGUCUGAGGCUCCUAAAGCUGGAAGAAAAGGCUGGGCCAGUCAGGCCAAGCAAGAACACAGUGUAACUUGUCUCUGAGUGCUUCAUGGUUAAGGGGGAUAAGUGGGCACAAGGGCACAAGGAUGGUUAUAUGUAGAGACUGAGGGGAAGAAGCAGUGAGGAUGAGACUUGUCAUCUUCUUGAGUCAGUAGGCCUGCCUCAGGUGCCUAGGAUGUAA
Molecule: small RNA, 715 nt
Filed under: Pongo abelii (Sumatran orangutan)
Lineage: Eukaryota; Metazoa; Chordata; Mammalia; Primates; Hominidae
Description: processed transcript
Source: RNAcentral